CAGCCGCCACGGGAAUACGAAGGGGGCUAGCGUUGUUCGGAUUUACUGGGCGUAAAGGGCGCGUAGGCGGACUGAUAAGUCAGGGGUGAAAUCCCAAGGCUCAACCUUGGAACUGCCUUUGAUACUGUUUGUCUUGAGUUCGAGAGAGGUAAGUGGAACUGCGAGUGUAGAGGUGAAAUUCGUAGAUAUUCGCAAGAACACCAGUGGCGAAGGCGGCUUACUGGCUCGAAACUGACGCUGAGGCGCGAAAGCGUGGGGAGCAAACAGGAUUAGAUACCCCGGUAGUCCCUGUCUCUUAUAC
RNAcentral lists this ribosomal RNA (301 nucleotides) under uncultured bacterium. RNAcentral describes it as "partial 16S ribosomal RNA". It matches the Rfam family "Bacterial small subunit ribosomal RNA", at positions 509 to 807 of the family's 1533-position model. The record is from RNAcentral.